UUAUAUGGUCAAGAAGAGAAGCGCAAACGGUGGAUGCCUUGGCAGUAAGAGGCGAAGAAGGACGUGGAAUCCUGCGAAAAGCUAUGGGGAGCUGGAAACGAGCGUUGAGCCAUAGAUGUCCGAAUGGGGGAACCCGGCUGCAGCGAUGCGGUCAUUUGCAUUUGAAUACAUAGGAUGCAAAGGCGAACUCGGGGAACUGAAACAUCUAAGUACCCGAAGGAAAAGAAAUCAAGAGAGAUUCUCCAAGUAGCGGCGAGCGAACGGGGAGGAGCCUGGCGUGAUUUAUUAUUGAACUGAGUAGAACAAUUUGGGAAAGUUGGCCGAAGAGGGUGAAAGCCCCGUAUACGAAGGUUUGAUGAGGAACUAGGCACGCGAACAAGUAGGCCGGGACACGUGAAAUCCUGGUUGAAGAUGGGUGGACCAUCAUCCAAGGCUAAAUACUACUUACUGACCGAUAGUGAACCAGUACCGUGAGGGAAAGGUGAAAAGAACCCCGGAGAGGGGAGUGAAAUAGAAUCUGAAACCGUUUGCGUACAAGCAGUGGGAGCAUGGUUUAGGCUGUGUGACUGCGUACCUUUUGUAUAAUGGGUCAGCGAGUUACUUUCAGUGGCGAGGUUAACUGAAUAAGGGAGCCGUAGAGAAAUCGAGUCUGAAUAGGGCGAUAGUCGCUGGGAGUAGACCCGAAACCGGGCGAUCUAGCCAUGUGCAGGAUGAAGGUUGGGUAACACCAACUGGAGGUCCGAACCGGGUAA
RNAcentral lists this ribosomal RNA (752 nucleotides) under Legionella pneumophila. RNAcentral describes it as "partial 23S ribosomal RNA". It matches the Rfam family "Bacterial large subunit ribosomal RNA", at positions 1 to 786 of the family's 2925-position model. The record is from RNAcentral. Lineage: Bacteria; Pseudomonadati; Pseudomonadota; Gammaproteobacteria; Legionellales; Legionellaceae.